GGUCGUGCGAUGGCCUAGUGGCUAACGCUCUCGUUUUCUAAUCUGGAGGUCCUGGGUUCAAACCCAAGAGGGCCA
Non-coding RNA from Caenorhabditis brenneri, 75 nucleotides. The record is from the annotation of a GenBank genome assembly. Lineage: Eukaryota; Metazoa; Nematoda; Chromadorea; Rhabditida; Rhabditidae.